GGUGGCUUAAGUGGUCAGAUCGUCCGCCUCGGAUGCGGGAGGUCGCGGUUACGAACCCCGGCUUAGCCA
Non-coding RNA from Potamilus streckersoni, 69 nucleotides. The record is from the annotation of a GenBank genome assembly. NCBI's taxonomy places the organism in Eukaryota, Metazoa, Mollusca, Bivalvia, Unionida, Unionidae.